RNAcentral lists this ribosomal RNA (246 nucleotides) under uncultured Gardnerella sp. Its description in RNAcentral is "partial 16S ribosomal RNA". It matches the Rfam family "Bacterial small subunit ribosomal RNA", at positions 108 to 354 of the family's 1533-position model. The record is from RNAcentral. Lineage: Bacteria; Bacillati; Actinomycetota; Actinomycetes; Bifidobacteriales; Bifidobacteriaceae.
GAGUAAUGCGUGACCAACCUGCCCCAUGCUCCAGAAUAGCUCUUGGAAACGGGUGGUAAUGCUGGAUGCUCCAACUUGACGCAUGUCUUGUUGGGAAAGUGUUUAGUGGCAUGGGAUGGGGUCGCGUCCUAUCAGCUUGUAGGCGGGGUAAUGGCCCACCUAGGCUUCGACGGGUAGCCGGCCUGAGAGGGCGGACGGCCACAUUGGGACUGAGAUACGGCCAGACUCCUACGGGAGGCAGCAGAU